UUUACACAAAUAUCUCAGUAGACUCGUGACUCUUAACUCAAUUAUUUCGAUCCUUUGUCAAUCUAAAUCAGGUGUCAUAUUGAAAUGAAUUAUCCUUUAAGGGCGGCAGAAAAUGUUUUGGAUGAAAUUCGAUUAAAAUCGCCCAAAGUUCAAACACUAAUCGGAGCAGGAGCUGGCCUAGUGGCAGCGAUAGUAAGUAUCAAAAUCGCCGAAUCAAUAGCCUUAUUUGUGGGAGCAGCGCUGUUGAUACUGUCCCUAACAACCGACUUUGUUCAGAUACCAACAGUCAAUUUAAAGUUCAAUUUAAAUUUAAGUUUUGUGAAUGGGUUGAUCCGAAGAAAUGGACCGUUAGCAACUGGCUUUAUCGCAGGAUAUUUAAUUGGUUUCGCUAUGCUAUGAACAGGCGGAGAUUGUCAAUCAGAAGAAAUUCAUUUUUUUUGAAAUUUCUAUGUGUCGAAUUCGUUGUAUGAUUUAAUAUAUACCAAGAGUUGUCUGCGUAC
Molecule: long non-coding RNA, 500 nt
Organism: Bradysia coprophila
Lineage: Eukaryota; Metazoa; Arthropoda; Insecta; Diptera; Sciaridae
Source: RefSeq, a predicted model, not a curated record